GACGAACGCUGGCGGCGCGCUUAACACAUGCAAGUCGAACGGAAAGGCCUGCUUUCCCUUGUGGAUUGCGGGUACUCGAGUGGCGAACGGGUGAGUAACACGUGAGUGAUCUGCCCCCAACUUGGGUAUAAGCCUGGGAAACUGGGUCUAAUUCCCGAUAGGACUGCAGGGUGGUGCCUGUGGUGGAAAACGAUUUUCUAGUGGUUGGGGAUGAGCUGGCGGCCUAUCAGCUUGUUGGUGGGGGAAUGGCCUACCAAGGCGGCGACGGGUAGCCGGCCUGGGAGAGUGGGCGGCCACAUUGGGACUGAGAUACGGCCCAGACUCCUACGGGAAGCAGCAGUGGGGAAUAUGGCGCAAUGGGCGGAAGCCAGAUGCAGCGACGCCGAGGGGGGAAUGACGGCCUUCGGGUUGUAAACUCCUUUCGACCGCGAGGAAGCCACCUGGUUGGAAGGGUGGUGACGGUAGUGGUAGAAGAAGCACCGGCUAACUACGUG
RNAcentral lists this ribosomal RNA (494 nucleotides) under uncultured bacterium. Its description in RNAcentral is "partial 16S ribosomal RNA". It matches the Rfam family "Bacterial small subunit ribosomal RNA", at positions 28 to 507 of the family's 1533-position model. The record is from RNAcentral.